RNAcentral lists this ribosomal RNA (465 nucleotides) under Vreelandella stevensii. RNAcentral's name for it is "partial 16S ribosomal RNA". It matches the Rfam family "Bacterial small subunit ribosomal RNA", at positions 338 to 795 of the family's 1533-position model. Lineage: Bacteria; Pseudomonadati; Pseudomonadota; Gammaproteobacteria; Oceanospirillales; Halomonadaceae. The record is from RNAcentral.
CCUACGGGGGGCUGCAGUGGGGAAUAUUGGACAAUGGGCGAAAGCCUGAUCCAGCCAUGCCGCGUGUGUGAAGAAGGCCUUCGGGUUGUAAAGCACUUUCAGUGGGGAAGAAAGCCUUGGGGCUAAUACCCUCGAGGAAGGACAUCACCCACAGAAGAAGCACCGGCUAACUCCGUGCCAGCAGCCGCGGUAAUACGGAGGGUGCGAGCGUUAAUCGGAAUUACUGGGCGUAAAGCGCGCGUAGGCGGUCUGAUAAGCCGGUUGGGAAAGCCCCGGGCUCAACCUGGGAACGGCAUCCGGAACUGUCAGGCUAGAGUGCAGGAGAGGAAGGUAGAAUUCCCGGUGUAGCGGUGAAAUGCGUAGAGAUCGGGAGGAAUACCAGUGGCGAAGGCGGCCUUCUGGACUGACACUGACGCUGAGGUGCGAAAGCGUGGGUAGCAAACAGGAUUAGAUACCCUAGUAGUC